UACGUAGGGGGCAAGCGGUGUCCGGAUUCAUUGGGCGUAAAGCGCGUGUAGGCGGCCAGGCAGGUCUGCUGUGAAAACUCGAGGCUCAACCUCGAGACGUCGGCGGAAACCAUCUGGCUAGAGUCCGGAAGAGGAGAGUGGAAUUCCUGGUGUAGCGGUGAAAUGCGCAUAUCAGGAAGAACACCCGUGGCGAAGGCGGCUCUCUGGGACGGUACUGACGCUGAGACGCGAAAGCGUGGGGAGCGAACAGG
This 251-nucleotide ribosomal RNA is filed under the name uncultured bacterium. RNAcentral's name for it is "partial 16S ribosomal RNA". It matches the Rfam family "Bacterial small subunit ribosomal RNA", at positions 524 to 776 of the family's 1533-position model. The record is from RNAcentral.